UGGCUGGCUUUGCAGCAUGGGCUGUUAGCCAUUGGUAUUUGAGGGUUUAAAAAACCAGUCAUUUCCUCCAGUGUCAAAUAAAAGAAAAUUCUAGACAGUGAUGUAAACAUGGACAUGAAGGGAAGGAGUUUGAACUCUACAGGAGAAAGAAAUUAUAGAUGUAACUGACAACUCCAUAGAAUGUAGGUGGAAACAAAGUUGUAGAAGGUGAAUCAAAUGGGUAGUGUUAUCUGACUUCAGUUUCUGAUCUCCAGAUCCAAAUUUGUCAGUCAUCGAAGCUUGAUUUUCAGACCUUACUGUCUGUUUGAGACAAUGAAGAAGAAAUUUUUGGCUGACUGGUCAGUGAAGACAAUUGGAUUAAUCAAGACAGAGUGAGAGCAUGAGCGGGAGCGGCAGAAGGAGAGAGAGAACCUCAAGCAGACUUCACAUUGAACUUGGAGCCUGACAUGGGGCUUGAUCUCACCAACCCAAGAUCAAGACCUGAGCUGAAAUCGAGAGUUGGACACUCAACUGACUGAGCCAUCCAGGAGCUGUAGAUGAGGAAUUACUGAAGAGAGAACCCAGUGCUUAGAAUGUCCAAGCAAAACCAUCAGCUAACUACAAUAUCGUCAAGUGUUUGCUGCGUUAACCAACAUACAUGGCACAUACCUCUCAAUGGUGUAACUUGCAGCAAGGACGCUCAUCUCUCAGUGCUGAGGACAUAGGCUCCUCAACUGCUCCUUGCCAUGUGGUCUUGGCUUCUGAAGUGUGUUAGAAUGCAGAAUGUGGAAACGUCUUAUGGAGUGGUGCACCCAAAACACAGGGGAGAACCAGACGUUGGGGGAGAAGCAGACAUUGAUUGUGAUCUAGUGAGAUCUGGGAAGGCUUCCUGGAAAGUUUGCCAUUUGCGCUGGACCUUCAAGAACGUGUGGAUUUCUGGAGGUUUCUGGUCUGUGGGGCACCUGGCUUGCUCAGUUGGUGGAGCGCAUGACUCUGGAUCUUGGGGUCGUGAGUUCGAGCCCCAUGUUGGGUGUGGAGAUGACUUAAAAAAAUUCAGAUCUGAUAAUUGAUCAAGGAAAGAAUGUUAAAAAGAGUGCCCCUUCACUGACAAGAAAGGCGUUAUCAUUUUUAUUACCUGUGGGCUGUUCAUAGAAUCUCUGUAUUAUGGUUAAUGAUAGCAUCUCCUUCAUGGGUGAUGGUUUGUGAAACCAGCAGUUAUCGGAGAUAAACACUGAAGAGUCUGAUUUACUUGUUCAUGAGCAUACCAUAAAAUCUUCAGUUAAAUCACA
Long non-coding RNA from Mustela lutreola (European mink), 1268 nucleotides. RefSeq lists it as uncharacterized. The transcript has 6 exons. NCBI's taxonomy places the organism in Eukaryota, Metazoa, Chordata, Mammalia, Carnivora, Mustelidae. The record is from RefSeq and is a predicted model, not a curated record.